RNAcentral lists this ribosomal RNA (798 nucleotides) under uncultured bacterium. RNAcentral's name for it is "bacterial SSU rRNA". It matches the Rfam family "Bacterial small subunit ribosomal RNA", at positions 8 to 796 of the family's 1533-position model. The record is from RNAcentral.
AGAGUUUGAUCAUGGCUCAGAUUGAACGUUGGCGGCAGGCCUAAAACAUGCAAGUCGAACGGUAACAGCGGAAGCUUGCUUCCGGCUGACGAGUGGCGGACGGGUGAGUAACACGUAGGAAUCUACCUAGUAGUGGGGGACAACCCCGGGGAAACCCGGGCUAAUACCGCAUACGCUCUACGGAGGAAAGCAGGGGAUCUUCGGACCUUGCGCUAUUGGAGGAGCCUGCGUCGGAUUAGCUAGUUGGUGGGGUAAAGGCCUACCAAGGCGACGAUCCGUAGCUGGUCUGAGAGGACGAUCAGCCACACUGGAACUGAGACACGGUCCAGACUCCUACGGGAGGCAGCAGUUAGGAAUCUUGGGCAAUGGGCGCAAGCCUGACCCAGCCAUGCCGCGUGUGUGAAGAAGGCCUUCGGGUUGUAAAGCACUUUCAGCGGUGAAGAAAAGCUCAGGGCUAAUACCCUUGAGUCUUGACGUUAACCACAGAAGAAGCACCGGCUAACUCCGUGCCAGCAGCCGCGGUAAUACGGAGGGUGCGAACGUUAAUCGGAAUCACUGGGCGUAAAGCGCGCGUAGGCGGUCUGUUAAGUGGGAUGUGAAAUCCCCGGGCUUAACCUGGGAAUUGCAUUUCAAACUGGCCGACUAGAGUACGGUAGAGGGAGGUAGAAUUUCCUGUGUAGCGGUGAAAUGCGUAGAUAUAGGAAGGAAUACCAGUGGCGAAGGCGGCCUCCUGGAUCGAUACUGACGCUGAGGCGCGAAAGCGUGGGGAGCAAACAGGAUUAGAUACCCUAGUAGUCC